CAGCAGCCACGGUAACACGUAGGUGGCAAGCGUUGUCCGGAAUUAUUGGGCGUGAAGGGCUCGCAGGCGGUUUCUUAAAUCUGAUGUGAAAGCCCCCGGCUCAACCGGGGAGGGUCAUUGGAAACUGGGAAACUUGAGUGCAGAAGAGGAGAGUGGAAUUCCACGUGUAGCGGUGAAAUGCGUAGAGAUGUGGAGGAACACCAGUGGCGAAGGCGACUCUCUGGUCUGUAACUGACGCUGAGGAGCGAAAGCGUGGGGAGCGAACAGGAUUAGAUACCCGCGUAGUCCCUGUCUCUUAUAU
This 301-nucleotide ribosomal RNA is filed under the name uncultured bacterium. RNAcentral describes it as "partial 16S ribosomal RNA". It matches the Rfam family "Bacterial small subunit ribosomal RNA", at positions 509 to 809 of the family's 1533-position model. The record is from RNAcentral.